GAUGAACGCUGGCGGCGUGCCUAAUACAUGCAAGUCGAGCGAACGGACGAGAAGCUUGCUUCUCUGAUGUUAGCGGCGGACGGGUGAGUAACACGUGGAUAACCUACCUAUAAGACUGGGAUAACUUCGGGAAACCGGAGCUAAUACCGGAUAAUAUUUUGAACCGCAUGGUUCAAAAGUGAAAGACGGUCUUGCUGUCACUUAUAGAUGGAUCCGCGCUGCAUUAGCUAGUUGGUAAGGUAACGGCUUACCAAGGCAACGAUGCAUAGCCGACCUGAGAGGGUGAUCGGCCACACUGGAACUGAGACACGGUCCAGACUCCUACGGGAGGCAGCAGUAGGGAAUCUUCCGCAAUGGGCGAAAGCCUGACGGAGCAACGCCGCGUGAGUGAUGAAGGUCUUCGGAUCGUAAAACUCUGUUAUUAGGGAAGAACAUAUGUGUAAGUAACUGUGCACAUCUUGACGGUACCUAAUCAGAAAGCCACGGCUAACUACGUGCCAGCAGCCGCGGUAAUACGUAGGUGGCAAGCGUUAUCCGGAAUUAUUGGGCGUAAAGCGCGCGUAGGCGGUUUUUUAGUCUGAUGUGAAAGCCCACGGCUCAACCGUGGAGGGUCAUUGGAAACUGGAAAACUUGAGUGCAGAAGGGGAAAGUGGAAUUCCAUGUGUAGCGGUGAAAUGCGCAGAGAUAUGGAGGAACACCAGUGGCGAAGGCGACUUUCUGGUCUGUAACUGACGCUGAUGUGCGAAAGCGUGGGGAUCAAACAGGAUUAGAUACCCUGGUAGUCCACGCCGUAAACGAUGAGUGCUAAGUGUUAGGGGGUUUCCGCCCCUUAGUGCUGCAGCUAACGCAUUAAGCACUCCGCCUGGGGAGUACGACCGCAAGGUUGAAACUCAAAGGAAUUGACGGGGACCCGCACAAGCGGUGGAGCAUGUGGUUUAAUUCGAAGCAACGCGAAGAACCUUACCAAAUCUUGACAUCCUUUGACAACUCUAGAGAUAGAGCCUUCCCCUUCGGGGGACAAAGUGACAGGUGGUGCAUGGUUGUCGUCAGCUCGUGUCGUGAGAUGUUGGGUUAAGUCCCGCAACGAGCGCAACCCUUAAGCUUAGUUGCCAUCAUUAAGUUGGGCACUCUAAGUUGACUGCCGGUGACAAACCGGAGGAAGGUGGGGAUGACGUCAAAUCAUCAUGCCCCUUAUGAUUUGGGCUACACACGUGCUACAAUGGACAAUACAAAGGGCAGCGAAACCGCGAGGUCAGGCAAAUCCCAUAAAGUUGUUCUCAGUUCGGAUUGUAGUCUGCAACUCGACUACAUGAAGCUGGAAUCGCUAGUAAUCGUAGAUCAGCAUGCUACGGUGAAUACGUUCCCGGGUCU
Molecule: ribosomal RNA, 1371 nt
Filed under: uncultured bacterium
Lineage: Bacteria
Description: bacterial SSU rRNA
Rfam family: Bacterial small subunit ribosomal RNA
Source: RNAcentral